RNAcentral lists this long non-coding RNA (1113 nucleotides) under Heterocephalus glaber (naked mole-rat). Its description in RNAcentral is "lncRNA (ENSHGLG00000036937.1)". The record is from RNAcentral. Lineage: Eukaryota; Metazoa; Chordata; Mammalia; Rodentia; Bathyergidae.
CCCACCCUGGAGGUAUGAGGAUCCGCGCAAUGCGGUUCGGAGGCGGCCGCGGCGCCCCAGAGGUGAAAGCGGAGGCGCCAGGACGCCGGUGCCGGCCUCUCAGGAUGCUAGGCGGCCACACACGAGAUGAGGAAACUGAGGCCCAGAGAGAUCACACAGCUACUAAGUCAAGGAGCUGGGACAGGCGUGGGUGCUGAAAAGUGAUUGAUACUGAUAGUAAAAUUGAGGAAGACAUGAUGUUUUUGUAAUUUGAGAAAAAUCACUGAAGAAUAAACUAUAUGAAGUCAUUGAUGCCAAAUUCCCAGCCCCAGCCUUUGCAGCUGCCCCGCCUGGGGUUCGUCUCUAUGGGAAGGAGUCUUUGCCGUGGACAGAGGCCGUGAUGACGAAGGUCAGGCUUAGAGAUCCAGGAAGUUGAGACAUGGAAAGCAGGAGUGGAGCAAGGAGAUUCUGGAAGAGCUGCUAUUUUAUUGCCUUGACGUGUGGAUGAACUGCUUAACCUCUCUACAAUGGGUGGCAAAAAUCAUGACAUUUCACACACUCCGCCCCAGUGGAACCCAUCUUCCUCUGCUGUCUAACUGAAGAACUAGCAAUGCCUUCCAAAGCUAAAGGAAACUCCAGCUCCAUGCAACAGAUGGUGCCAAGUGAUAGAAAGAAAACAGUGGGAAGAAUACCUGGUAUAUAGCAGAAAACUGGAGCUUCAACAUGGUGGCAUACAGAGAUAAAAGAAGCUGAAGGGAGUAGACAAAUAAAAAGGUAAACCCUUUUCCUUUUGUAUUAGGUUUUGUAGAAAUGAUUUUGAAGAUUUUUUUUUUUUUGCUUCUCUUUGCUCUAUACUUUGUAUAGUCAAAGCCAAGCCAUGUUUGAAAUGUUCCCUAGAAACACACGCAUGUGACUAAAAUAGAUUCCCUGCAGAUUUACCUAAUUUUAGUGAGGGCCUGUUACAUACAAUGAACUCUGCUGGGCAAUUUCACUUACAUUUUCUCAGAUGAAGAAGUUAGACCAUAAAUGUGGUAGGGUUGGCAAAGACAUGGUGAAUGGGUAAGAACGUUUCAGGACCAUGACUGAAUGAACAUGUAUCUCCUCCUCACACCUGACCCUGGGGAAGACUCUGUG